CCAAGGCUCUAGAAACUGCCUGGCUCACUGUUUUUCUCUUCCUCUUCUCUUUCCAGCUCCCUCUCACUGUGCCUUUGCUGGCUACAUUAACAUCCAAAGAGAUGUCCUCUAAAGGAAAGAAACCAGAAGGGGGAGACUGGGAGCAACCAAGAAACAACCAAAAGAACCUGGCCUUUGAUGGGAUAACGUGAUCGACAACGAUGACGGAUGUUAUUCCAAGGGGGCUGAGUCAAGAGAAAAUGAAGAUUAAAGCUAUAAAGGAAACCAACAUGGGAAGAUCCGGGCUUAGUUUUAAAGCAAAGCCAGUGAGACAUCACCAUGGAGAGAAAUUGAUAACAGCCUCGAGACAGGGUAUCCCAAUAUGCUAGUCACUAGCAACUUAUGGAUGUUGAGACUUGAGAUGUGGCCAGUCUGAGAUGACAUUAUGUUGUAUAUGGAAGAUACACAUCAAAUUUCAAAGACUUAGGACAAAAACAAGGCAAAAGAAAAUCUCAUGAAUAGUUUUUAUGUUGAUUACAUUUUGAAAUGUUAUAUUUUGGAUAUAUUGAGUUAAAUAAAAUAUAGUAUUCAAGCCAAUUGCUCUUGGUUUUUUAAAUUUUUUUUUAAUGUGGCUGCUAGGUAAUUUUAAAUGAUAUAUGUAGCUCGCAUUAUAUUUCUGUUGACAAUACUUGCCUGGAGAAGUCAACCCAACAGCUCUGCUAACCCCACUGCCUCCGGCUCCCCCUCGUUUUUAUUUGAGCCAUAUCAGUUUGUUCUCUUUUUAAUUUUUUCAUUCCUUCUCAAAUUCUAAAGAUAAGAAAUAAUUUUGAAAGGCAACUCAUUCCAAUUUAGUUUGGGCAAGUUUUGAUGAUAAAAAUUUAGAAGAAGGAGAAGGAAAGAAUAUAAAAACCCAAGGUCCCCUGGUUUAUUAAGAAGGUAAAAA
This is a long non-coding RNA of Orcinus orca (killer whale), 922 nucleotides long. RefSeq lists it as uncharacterized. Lineage: Eukaryota; Metazoa; Chordata; Mammalia; Artiodactyla; Delphinidae. The record is from RefSeq and is a predicted model, not a curated record. The transcript has 2 exons.